CGAACAACUCGAAGUAACGUUGGUGAUAUCAAAUAAUUUUCAACAAAAUCUUUCAAUGCCGAACCUGUGGAAGAGCAAACAAAAGUAUAUUAUCAGAAAGUUGAUCAAGCCAAUAGAUACAUUCAUUUCAAGAACAAGCAUCAAAUCAAAUCAGUAGCUAAUCAAGCUUUUGGACUGUAAUUUUUGUCUCAUUGAAUUGAUUGAAAUGACAAUUACAAAGUCAAAGACAUUCCAAGGUUCCCGGAAAUAGUGGAAACGAAGAGCAAAAAUUUUGAGCAUGCAUUCAGCAGUGAAAACUGCAAUGAAAAAUAGGUUACACAUCUCAAGGAUGUGCUCCAUGAAAGCAGAGGCCUGGUAAUGGUCAAGGGACAUCACAAACAUGUUCAGCAUUAUGAAUAACAUUAUCAACAUAUCAAACUUUUUGUUUGUUACAAUGUCAAAAAUUAUUGCUUGAAGUUUAAACUGGAUAAUGAAGACAAGAAUGAGACAAGAAAUAAAUUAUUAGCCAUAAUUUACGUUUAACCCAAAAAUUAAUUGGCGAUCAAAUUGGUUUCUUCAUCAAGCUGUGUAAACGCCAAUUGAUCAACCAAGAAAUGUAAAAGAAAAGUUAUUCUCUCAACUUGAAUUGAACACAAUAACAAUGAAUUGUUGUAAAUUCAGACUAAAUCUUUUAUUUUCAUUUGAUAAUGACAAGCAGCUAUCAACUGAUUGAUUAUAGUGUGUUUAAUUCAA
Tetranychus urticae (two-spotted spider mite) is the source of this 732-nucleotide non-coding RNA. The record is from RefSeq and is a predicted model, not a curated record. Lineage: Eukaryota; Metazoa; Arthropoda; Arachnida; Trombidiformes; Tetranychidae.